Molecule: ribosomal RNA, 494 nt
Filed under: uncultured bacterium
Lineage: Bacteria
Description: bacterial SSU rRNA
Rfam family: Bacterial small subunit ribosomal RNA
Source: RNAcentral
GAUGAACGCUAGCGACAGGCCUAACACAUGCAAGUCGAGGGGCAGCACAGUGUAGCAAUACAUAGGUGGCGACCGGCGCACGGGUGAGUAACGCGUAUGCAACCUGCCUACAACAGGGGGAUAACCCGGAGAAAUCCGGACUAAUACCGCAUAAAACAGGGGUCCCGCAUGGGAGUAUUUGUUAAAGAUUUAUCGGUUGUAGAUGGGCAUGCGUUCCAUUAGUUAGUUGGUGAGGUAACGGCUCACCAAGACGUCGAUGGAUAGGGGAACUGAGAGGUUUGUCCCCCACACUGGAACUGAGACACGGACCAGACUCCUACGGGAGGCAGCAGUGAGGAAUAUUGGUCAAUGGGCGAGAGCCUGAACCAGCCAAGUCGCGUGAAGGAAGACUGCCUUAUGGGUUGUAAACUUCUUUUAACAGGAAUAAAAAGGCUUACGUGUAGGCCAUUGCAAGUACUGUAUGAAUAAGCAUCGGCUAACUCCGUGCCAGCAGC